This is a non-coding RNA of Mus caroli (Ryukyu mouse), 2278 nucleotides long. Lineage: Eukaryota; Metazoa; Chordata; Mammalia; Rodentia; Muridae. The record is from RefSeq and is a predicted model, not a curated record.
AUGACGUACCCCUUUGUAGCUAAGGCUGGCUGUGGACUCAUUAUGUCACCUAUGCUGGCCUUGGUUGAGUUGAUGGUUAUCAAUCUGACUCAGAUUUUCCAAGUGCUGAAAUUGGUACCAGGGAUUAGGGUAAUCAAAACAUUGCCUGGAGAGUUAUCCAAAGGAGCAGUCCAGGCUCGAGGUAAGAAGCGCCCAGCACCAAUUCAAAACAGUGAUGGGGACGAGGAGGAAGACUCGGGGGAAGAUGAUGUGGUGACCCAGGGGGACCUUUGGGGCUCUGAGGACAGUGAUGAAGAUAUGGUGGAUGACUACAGAGCUGCCUCUAAUUUGGAGGAUGAGGAGGAAAAGCUGUUGCCUAUUGAAAGAGCUGCCCUGAAGCAGAAAGCCCAGGACGCCGCAGCUGGGGUCCAGUGGAGUCAAGAGGACACUGAUGAAGAUGAAGAUGAUGAUGGUGUGUCCCCUGAGUCCCACCCCAGAAAGGAUGACAAAGCAGAGGGGGAUUUGCAAAUUAAUGUGGAAGAUGAGGAAGCCUUUGUGCUGCCCCCUGCUGGGGAGAUGGACCAGGAUGGCCAGGCUCCAGACCUGCAGUGAGUUCACAAGCGGAUCCAGGACAUCAUGGGAGUGCGGGAUUUUGGAGCUCAGCGAGAAGAGGCCGGUCUCGAGCUGAGUAUCUAAGUCGGCUUCAAAAGGACCUGGCCACUUACUAUUCUUAUGGAGACUUCCUGUUGAGCAAGUUCAUGGAGCUGUUCCCUCUGUCUGAGUUGAUCGAGUUCUUAGAAGCUAAUGAGGUGCCCUGGCCAAUCACCCUUCAAACCAACACCUUGAAAACCCGUCGCCGAGACCUUGCUCAGGCUCUGAUAAAUCGUGGGGUUAAUCUGGAUCCACUGGGGAAGUGGUCAAAGUCUGGGCUUGUGGUAUAUGAUUCUUCAGUGCCUAUUGGCACUACCCCCGAGUACCUCGCUGGACACUAUAUGCUGCAGGGAGCUUCCAGUAUGUUGCCUAUCAUAGCCCUGACACCUCAGGAACAUGAGCGGAUCUUAGACAUGUGCUGUGCUCCUGGGGGGAAGACCAGUUACAUAGCUCAGCUGAUGAAGAACACAGGAGUGAUCCUUGCCAACGAUGCCAAUGCAGACCGGCUCAAGAGCGUGGUGGGCAACCUGCACCUCUUGGGAAUCACCAACACCAUCAUCAGCCACUAUGAUGGGCGCCAGUUCCCCAAGGUGGUGGGGGGCUUUGAUCGAGUGCUACUGGAUGCUCCUUGUAGUGGCACAGGACUCAUCUCCAAAGACCCUGCUGUGAAGAUGAACUAGGAUAAGAAAGACAUCCAGCACUGUGCCCACCUUCAGAAGGAACUGCUGCUCAGGAACUAUCGACUCAGUGAACGCUGCCUCCAAGACCGGAGGCUACCUGGUCUACUGCACCUGUUCCAUUACGGUGGAAGAGAAGAAGAGGAAUGUGCGGCUGGUGCCCACCGGCCUCGACUUUGGCCAGGAAGGUUUUACCCGCUUCCAAGCAAGGCGCUUUCACCCCACUCUGCGUUCCACCCGACGCUUCCACCCUCACACUCACAAUAUGGACGGUUUCUUUAUCGCCAAGUUCAAGAAAUUUUCCAAUUCUAUUCCCCAGCCCCAUGCAGGAAACCUGGCAGCAGCUACCCCUACAGAGCCUAACCUGAAGGAUCAGGUCACCCCAAAGUCUGAGAACGGUAGUCAGCCCACCAAGAAAGCCCGUGGGGCUGUGAAGGCAAAGUAGCAGUUGCUGAGACAGCCACAUUCCAAGAAGNCCUUCCAGAAGUUGAACGGCAUCGCCAAAGGGCCAGGCUUGUCCACUGAGCCUUCUGUCCCAGAUGCCCAAGUGUCCGCCAGGCCCAGUCAGUCUGCUGGGAAAGCCGAUGUGAGCAGGAAACGAAAGAGGGCUGAGAAGCUGAAGCAGCGGGGACCUAAAUGGAAGCCCUCCAAGGAGGCUGCUGUCCCAAAGAAGAGCCCCCCCUUCCAGGAGUGAGGACUGGGGGACACCUCCUGUGCCGACUCCCUCUGAAAUUCAUGCAGCCCCAAGACCUAAGGACUGUGCUCCAUCCCUUGGGAAAGCCAAAAAGAAACAGAAAGGAAAGCAGCAGUUAGCACAGCAGCCUGCCAACGGAGCUGCUCCCCUGAAAGAAGAUGCUGUUCCUAAGGGACCCUCAGCCCCCUUUGUGUCUCCCCACAGUUCCACCAGGCCACCACCAGCAAAAAGGAGGAAAUCAAUGACAAAGGGCAGCAGCCAGCCUCUGUUGUCUUAA